AAUCGUCUGCCGCGUUCGCGCGGGUUUUAUAUUUCCUUGAACCGAUGCUCGAUGAGCAAGGGCUUGGAACAUCGCAGGGCAGGUGUGAUCGUCUCGCGUCAGAUGAACCCGAAGCCCUGCUGACCUCGCCCACCUGAACUUCCACCUGGGUUCAGGAAUGCGGCCCGCGGGGCGCGGCAGACACCUU
RNAcentral lists this non-coding RNA (187 nucleotides) under Aquincola sp. Its description in RNAcentral is "6S RNA". It matches the Rfam family "6S / SsrS RNA". Rfam says of the family: E. coli 6S RNA was the first non coding RNA to be sequenced, but its function was unknown until recently. The record is from RNAcentral. Lineage: Bacteria; Pseudomonadati; Pseudomonadota; Betaproteobacteria; Burkholderiales; Sphaerotilaceae.